CGGACGUGGGUAACCUGCCUCAUACAGGGGGAUAACAGUUAGAAAUGACUGCUAAUACCGCAUAAGCGCACAGCAUUGCAUGAUGCCGUGUGAAAAACUCUGGUGGUAUGAGAUGGACCCGCGUCUGAUUAGCUAGUUGGUGAGGUAACGGCCCACCAAGGCGACGAUCAGUAGCCGACCUGAGAGGGUGACCGGCCACAUUGGGACUGAGACACGGCCCAA
Molecule: ribosomal RNA, 222 nt
Filed under: uncultured bacterium
Lineage: Bacteria
Description: partial 16S ribosomal RNA
Rfam family: Bacterial small subunit ribosomal RNA
Source: RNAcentral